This 425-nucleotide ribosomal RNA is filed under the name uncultured bacterium. Its description in RNAcentral is "bacterial SSU rRNA". It matches the Rfam family "Bacterial small subunit ribosomal RNA", at positions 359 to 776 of the family's 1533-position model. The record is from RNAcentral.
GAAUUUUGGACAAUGGGGGCAACCCUGAUCCAGCAAUGCCGCGUGCAGGAAGAAGGCCUUCGGGUUGUAAACUGCUUUUGUACGGAACGAAAAGGCUCUGGUUAAUACCUGGGGCACAUGACGGUACCGUAAGCAUAAGCACCGGCUACCUACGUGCCAGCAGCCGCGGUAAUCCGUAGGGUGCGAGCGUUAAUCGGAAUUACGGGGCGUAAAGCGUGCGCAGGCGGUGCUGUAAGACAGGCGUGAAAUCCCCGGGCUUAACCUGGGAAUGGCGCUUGUGACUGCAGUGCUGGAGUGUGGCAGAGGGGGAUGGAAUUCCGCGUGUAGCAGUGAAAUGCGUAGAUAUGCGGAGGAACACCGAUGGCGAAGGCAAUCCCCUGGGCCUGCACUGACGCUCAUGCACGAAAGCGUGGGGAGCAAACAGG